The submitters of this non-coding RNA (48 nucleotides) gave its source as unclassified sequences. The record is from Rfam.
GACCGUCGGCGAAGCGGCGCCGACGAAGGACCAAAUGGGGUCGAUAGC